This 1791-nucleotide ribosomal RNA is filed under the name Triticum aestivum (bread wheat). RNAcentral describes it as "partial small subunit ribosomal RNA". Lineage: Eukaryota; Viridiplantae; Streptophyta; Magnoliopsida; Poales; Poaceae. The record is from RNAcentral.
AUGUGGCGGCUUCUGGCGCUGGUGGUGUUCGCCGCCGUGCCGGCAAUGGCCGGCGACCCCUACGCCUUCUUCGACUGGGACGUCUCCUACGUCACCGCGGCGCCCCUCGGCGUCAAGCAGCAGGUGAUAGGCAUCAACGGCAAGUUCCCGGGGCCCGUCGUCAACAUCACCACCAACUGGAACGUCGUCGUCAACGUGCUCAACGACCUCGACGAGCCCCUCCUAAUCACAUGGAACGGGAUCCAGCACCGGAAGAACUGCUGGCAGGACGGCGUGCUGGGCACCAACUGCCCCAUCCCGUCCGGGUGGAACUGGACCUACGAGUUCCAGGUCAAGGAUCAGAUCGGCAGCUUCUUCUACUUCCCCUCCACCGGCCUGCAGCGCGCCGCCGGCGGCUUCGGCGGCAUCGUUGUCAACAACCGCGGCGUCAUCGCCGUGCCCUUCGGCCGCCCCGACGGCGACAUCACCAUCCUGAUCGGCGACUGGUACAACAGGAACCACACGGAUCUGAGGAAGAUGCUGGACGAAGGGAAGGAGCUCGGGAUGCCGGACGGCGUGCUGAUAAACGGCAAGGGCCCGUACCGGUACAACGACAGCCUUGUGCCGGCCGGCAUUGAGCACGAGACCAUCGAUGUGCAUCCCGGUCGGACGUACCGCAUCCGGGUGCACAACGUGGGCACGUCGACGAGCCUCAACUUCCGGAUCCAGGGGCACAACCUGCUGCUGGUGGAGACGGAGGGGUCCUACACCACGCAGCAGAACUACAGCAGCCUCGACGUCCACGUCGGCCAGUCCUACUCCUUCCUCCUCACCACCGACCAGAACGCCAGCUCCGACUACUACGUCGUCGCCAGCGCCCGCAUCGUCAACGAGUCCCUCUGGCAGCGCGUCACCGGCGUCGCCCUCCUCCGCUACUCCAACUCCGGCGGCCCGGCGUCCGGCCCGCUCCCGGACCCGCCCCAGGACCAGUACGACAAGACGCUCUCCAUGAACCAGGCGCGCUCCGUCCGCUGGAACCUCAGCGCCGGCGCGGCGCGGCCCAACCCGCAGGGCUCCUUCCGCUACUCCUCCAUCAACGUGACGCAGGCGUACCUGCUGCGGAGCGCCGCGCCCGUGGAGAUCGGCGGGAAGCUUAGGGCGGCGCUCAACGGGCUGUCCUUCGUCCCGCCGGAGACGCCGCUGCGGCUCGCCGACGCGUACGGCGUGGAGGGCGCCUACACGCUCGACUUCCCGGAGCGGCCGCCGGCGCCGGACGCCGCCCCCCGGGUGGCGCGGUCCGUCAUCAACGGCACCUACCGGGGGUUCAUGGAGCUCAUCUUCCAGAACAACGACACCCGGAUGCAGAGCUACCACGUGGACGGGUACGCCGUGUUCGUCGUCGGGAUGGACUACGGGGAGUGGACGGAGGCGAGCCGGAGCACGUACAACAAGGGCGACAGCGUGGCGCGCAGCACCGUGCAGGUGUACCCCGGCGCCUGGACGGCGGCGCUGGUGUCGCUGGACAACGUGGGGUUCUGGAACGUGCGGUCGCAGAACCUCGACUCGUGGUACCUCGGGCAGGAGGUGUACGUCAGGGUGGUGAACCCCGAGGACGGCGCCAACAAGACCGAGAUGGCCGUCCCCCGCAACGCCCUCUACUGCGGCCAGCUCCACAAGUACCAGAAGGAGCAGACCCCUCAUCACAAGGCGGCGGCGGCGGCGUCUGCGGCGGCCGUGCGGCCGUUGGCUGUGCGGAGGCAGAUCGUGGCGUUGGUGAUGCUCGUCGUCGGAGCCCUCGUGUUCGCGUCGUAG